GAGAGGUGGCUGAGUGGUCGAAAGCGGCGGUCUUGAAAACCGUUGAGGGUACCCCCCUCCCAGGGUUCGAAUCCCUGUCUCUCC
This 84-nucleotide transfer RNA is filed under the name marine eukaryotic metagenome. It matches the Rfam family "tRNA". Rfam says of the family: Transfer RNA (tRNA) molecules are approximately 80 nucleotides in length. Their secondary structure includes four short double-helical elements and three loops (D, anti-codon, and T loops). The record is from RNAcentral.